GAGUGGGGAUGGGUGAGUUGGGCAGGUGAGGGGCAAGGUGAUUGAGGCCGAUGCGUGUUCAGAAGGCAGUGGGGAGGCUCGAGGGUUCUCCGCUGUGACUUGGAGGACGCCCCCACAGUCGAGGCGGAUCAAGUCCCAGCUCCGAUGUCCCCUUGCUGUGUGACACCCUGCACACCCCUCGCCGUGGGGAACAAUGCCAGCGCCCUCCUCCCUUAGCCUGGCUCACGGGCAGACGGUGGGGUACGCUGUGUGCCACUACCAGGUGCUCCGACACAAGCGACCGCGUCAGCACGGAAGACCUCUGUGGCUGCUCUGGGAUCCCGUCCUCGGAUCUCCUGCCGUUCCGGGGAGCAUGACCAGUUGGACUGGCAGGGAGCCCCGGAAGGAGGGACACUGAUGACGGACAGGCUGUAAAACCCAGGGGAACUGGCAGGAAUCUGCCAAGGUAUGCGCCUCACCUGUCAUUGCCUCUGAAGAUAAAAUCAAAAGUUGCUUUUGACCCUGGCUUUGCUCUGCUGGCUCGUGCUUGUGGGGGUGGGGGGUGCUCCCCAACUGCUGACCCCAGGGCAGGGCCUGGGCACUGUGUCCGGUUUCUUUCCCUCCUCCUGGCCUCUGCACCCUCCAGGCAGCUUUUGGAACCAUCCUGCAGGGAUCUCGUCUGCUUUCCUCCGUUUCCAAGUCCCAUCAAGUCCAGUUCAAAUGCUGCCUCCUCCAGGAAGCCUUCCCACACCUUGGCGGUCAGAACUGGCCUCUACAACUUCGUAACUCCCAGAAAUAUCACGGGCUCGGAGGAGUUUCACGUGGGCGCCACACUGCACUUGCAUGCUCGGAGAGCCCUGGCACCCAGGUAAACAGGAGGAACCCUAGGGGUGCGUGGGCUGCAGGUUAAGACUUGAGAUGAAGUUGCAUUUCUGAAAAGAGCGAGGGGGGUCUGUGCCGGUGAGAGAGGAGGCGGGAACUGAGGGCAG
RNAcentral lists this long non-coding RNA (968 nucleotides) under Oryctolagus cuniculus (rabbit). RNAcentral describes it as "lncRNA (ENSOCUG00000034271.1)". Lineage: Eukaryota; Metazoa; Chordata; Mammalia; Lagomorpha; Leporidae. The record is from RNAcentral.